Long non-coding RNA from Arabidopsis thaliana (thale cress), 921 nucleotides. RefSeq annotates it as other RNA. The record is from RefSeq. Lineage: Eukaryota; Viridiplantae; Streptophyta; Magnoliopsida; Brassicales; Brassicaceae. The transcript has a single exon.
GCAGAUGGCGUCUGAGACGGGUAUGCAAAAGUGCUUGCAGGUAGAUGAGUAAGCUGCACAUACGUACCGGUAGCAUUACAGAACGCCCAUGGGGCACCUGAAGGAUCGUAGGAGACAAGCUGAGGCUGCUCAUAGUUCUGGACAUAUCCAUUGUGGAACACAGGAUAUGAAGCUACAUUCUGCUGGCACAUCAAAGGAAGAGUCGGCUCUGGCACAGGCGCAGGGGCAGGGGCGGCAACGAGGUUGCUUUUCCCAAUUCCAUAGAUCAAUCCUCUAGCAAAUCUGGAAUCUUCAUAGACAUGUUUAAGCUUGAUGAAGACAAGUGCAGUCAUUAAGCUGUCUGAACCAGCGUGAUGUGCUCUUCCCACACGAGUGAUCUGAAGUAGCUGGGCUAGUUUGCUUAACCCGAGGUGUUCACCUAGUCCUUCACAGAAUCCAGCCAUGACCUUGGUGUCGUAAACUUGACCGAACACUUUGACAACCUCUGUUGCAAACUCGCCGUGAGUCUCUGGUAGCUUGCCAUGAUUGAGGAUACUCAAGAAGUAAGCGAAAUCGUAAGCUCCUUGGAAAGUGACGAACUCAACGUGUUUCUGAGAACGAAACACAGUCAUAAGCUUAGGGAAAAACCCGUAGCCGAACAUAUCAACUCCUUCGUCUCUAAUCUUCUGCAAAUCCAAACCAUGCCUCCUCAAGAAUUCGAUGGAAAGCUCGUUGCGUGUGUCUGAUGGGUCGCCGAAAUUGGAGAAGUUAAUCUCCCAAACACCACCGAUCUCUCCCUUGGCGUUGAAAAGAGUGAAACCACACUGGAUCAGCUUGGUGUUCUCGACAUUACCUUUCAUGGCUCUGUAACAUUCGUCGCUAGAGGAAUCGAAAUAAGUGCGGAAAAUAAUGCCAGGGUACUCUGUAUCGAAAGCGAUGAGU